Molecule: ribosomal RNA, 2923 nt
Filed under: Lactiplantibacillus plantarum
Lineage: Bacteria; Bacillati; Bacillota; Bacilli; Lactobacillales; Lactobacillaceae
Description: Lactobacillus plantarum 23S ribosomal RNA
Rfam family: Bacterial large subunit ribosomal RNA
Source: RNAcentral
AGGUUAAGUUAACAAGGGCGCAUGGUGAAUGCCUUGGCACUAGGAGCCGAUGAAGGACGGGACUAACACCGAUAUGCUUCGGGGAGCUGUACGUAAGCUAUGAUCCGGAGAUUUCCGAAUGGGGCAACCCAGCAGUUUUAAUCAACUGUUACCACUAGAUGAAUUUAUAGUCUAGUUGGAGGUAAACGCUGUGAACUGAAACAUCUCAUUAGCAGCAGGAAUAUAAAGAAAUUUCGAUUCCCUAAGUAGCGGCGAGCGAACGGGGAACAGCCCAAACCAAAGUGCUUGCACUUUGGGGUUGUAGGACUGAACAUUUGAGUUACCAAAGAACUUGAUAGUCGAAGGAUUUGGGAAAAUCCGCCAUAGAUGGUGAUAGCCCAGUAGAUUAAAUCAAAUUCUCUCAGUUCAGGAUCCUGAGUACGGCGGAACACGUGAAAUUCCGUCGGAAUCCGGGAGGACCAUCUCCCAAGGCUAAAUACUACCUAGUGACCGAUAGUGAACCAGUACCGUGAGGGAAAGGUGAAAAGCACCCCGGGAGGGGAGUGAAAUAGUUCCUGAAACCAUGUGCCUACAAUAAGUCAGAGCGCGUUAAUGCGUGAUGGCGUGCCUUUUGUAGAAUGAACCGGCGAGUUAUGAUCCCGUGCAAGGUUAAGACUAAAAAGUCGGAGCCGUAGCGAAAGCGAGUCUGAAAUGGGCGUUUUGAGUACGAGGUUAUAGACCCGAAACCAGGUGACCUAUCCAUGUCCAGGUUGAAGGUGCGGUAAAACGCACUGGAGGACCGAACCCGUGUAAGUUGAAAAUUGCUGGGAUGAGGUGUGGAUAGCGGUGAAAUUCCAAACGAACUUGGAGAUAGCUGGUUCUCUCCGAAAUAGCUUUAGGGCUAGCCUCGGAAUUAGGAUCAUGGAGGUAGAGCACUAUUUGGACUAGGGGCCCGUCUUGGGUUACUGAAUUCAGAUAAACUCCGAAUGCCAUUGAUUCAUAUCCGGGAGUCAGACGAUGAGUGAUAAGAUCCACCGUCGAAAGGGGAACAGCCCAGACCAUCAGUUAAGGUCCCUAAAUGUAUGCUAAGUGGAAAAGGAUGUGGAGUUGCAUAGACAACUAGGAUGUUGGCUCAGAAGCAGCCACCAUUUAAAGAGUGCGUAAUAGCUCACUAGUCGAGUGAUCCUGCGCCGAAAAUGUACCGGGGCUAAGCAUGCUACCGAAACCAUGGAUGCGACCAAUAGGUCGCGUGAUAGGAGAGCGUUCUAAGGGCGGUGAAGCAAGAUCGUGAGGACUUGUGGAGCGCUUAGAAGUGAGAAUGCCGGUAUGAGUAGCGAAAGAUAGGUGAGAAUCCUAUCCACCGAAUGACUAAGGUUUCCUGGGGAAGGCUCGUCCUCCCAGGGUUAGUCGGGACCUAAGUCGAGGCCGAGAGGCGUAGACGAUGGAUAACAGGUUGAGAUUCCUGUACUAGUUAAUUGCGUUUGAGCAAUGGAGGGACGCAGGAGGCUAAGAUGUGCAUUCUGUUGGAUUAGAAUGUCUAAGCAGUAAGUCUUGUGAAGAGUCAAAUGCUUUUCACUUUAAGGACAAGCUGUGAUGGGGAGCGAAAUUUAGUAGCGAAGCGUCUGAUGUCACACUGCCGAGAAAAUCUUCUAGUGAGUACUUAACUACCCGUACCGCAAACCGACACAGGUAGUCGAGGAGAGAAUCCUAAGGUGAGCGAGUGAACUCUCGUUAAGGAACUCGGCAAAAUGACCCCGUAACUUCGGGAGAAGGGGUGCUGAUCGCAAGAUCAGCCGCAGUGAAUAGGCCCAGGCGACUGUUUAUCAAAAACACAGGUCUCUGCAAAAUCGUAAGAUGACGUAUAGGGGCUGACGCCUGCCCGGUGCUGGAAGGUUAAAAGGAUGGGUUAGCUUCGGCGAAGCUCAGAAUUGAAGCCCCAGUAAACGGCGGCCGUAACUAUAACGGUCCUAAGGUAGCGAAAUUCCUUGUCGGGUAAGUUCCGACCCGCACGAAAGGCGUAACGAUCUGGGCACUGUCUCAACGAGAGACUCGGUGAAAUUAUAUUGUCCGUGAAGAUGCGGACUACCCGCGACAGGACGGAAAGACCCCAUGGAGCUUUACUGUAGCUUGAUAUUGAGUGUUUGUACAGCUUGUACAGGAUAGGUAGGAGCCAUAGAAACCGGAACGCUAGUUUCGGUGGAGGCGUUGGUGGGAUACUACCCUCGCUGUAUGACCACUCUAACCCGCACCACUAAUCGUGGUGGGAGACAGUGUCAGGUGGGCAGUUUGACUGGGGCGGUCGCCUCCUAAAAAGUAACGGAGGCGCCCAAAGGUUCCCUCAGAAUGGUUGGAAAUCAUUCGCAGAGUGUAAAGGCACAAGGGAGCUUGACUGCGAGACAGACAGGUCGAGCAGGGACGAAAGUCGGGCUUAGUGAUCCGGUGGUACCGUAUGGAAGGGCCAUCGCUCAACGGAUAAAAGCUACCCUGGGGAUAACAGGCUUAUCUCCCCCAAGAGUCCACAUCGACGGGGAGGUUUGGCACCUCGAUGUCGGCUCAUCGCAUCCUGGGGCUGUAGUCGGUCCCAAGGGUUGGGCUGUUCGCCCAUUAAAGCGGUACGCGAGCUGGGUUCAGAACGUCGUGAGACAGUUCGGUCCCUAUCCGUCGCGGGCGUAGGAAAUUUGAGAGGACCUGUCCUUAGUACGAGAGGACCGGGAUGGACAUACCUCUGGUGUACCAGUUGUGCCGCCAGGCGCAUCGCUGGGUAGCUACGUAUGGAUGUGAUAAACGCUGAAAGCAUCUAAGUGUGAAACACACCUCGAGAUGAGAUUUCCCAUUCCUUUAUGGAAGUAAGACCCCUGAAAGAUGAUCAGGUAGAUAGGUUAGAAGUGGCAGUGCGGUGACGCAUGAAGCGGACUAAUACUAAUCGGUCGAGGACUUAACCAAG